Molecule: ribosomal RNA, 812 nt
Filed under: uncultured bacterium
Lineage: Bacteria
Description: bacterial SSU rRNA
Rfam family: Bacterial small subunit ribosomal RNA
Source: RNAcentral
AGAGUUUGAUCCUGGCUCAGGAUGAACGCUGGCGGCGUGCCUAACACAUGCAAGUCGAGCGAACCCUUCGGGGUGAGCGGCGGACGGGUGAGUAACGCGUGGGUAACCUGCCCUAUACACACGGAUAACGUACCGAAAGGUACGCUAAUACGAGAUAAUAUAUUUUUAUCGCAUGGUAGAAAUAUCAAAGCUCCGGCGGUAUAGGAUGGACCCGCGUCUGAUUAGCUAGUUGGUAAGGUAAUGGCUUACCAAGGCGACGAUCAGUAGCCGACCUGAGAGGGUGAUCGGCCACAUUGGAACUGAGACACGGUCCAAACUCCUACGGGAGGCAGCAGUGGGGAAUAUUGCACAAUGGGCGAAAGCCUGAUGCAGCAACGCCGCGUGAGCGAUGAAGGCCUUCGGGUCGUAAAGCUCUGUCCUCAAGGAAGAUAAUGACGGUACUUGAGGAGGAAGCCCCGGCUAACUACGUGCCAGCAGCCGCGGUAAUACGUAGGGGGCUAGCGUUAUCCGGAAUUACUGGGCGUAAAGGGUGCGUAGGUGGUUUCUUAAGUCAGAGGUGAAAGGCUACGGCUCAACCGUAGUAAGCCUUUGAAACUGAGAAACUUGAGUGCAGGAGAGGAGAGUAGAAUUCCUAGUGUAGCGGUGAAAUGCGUAGAUAUUAGGAGGAAUACCAGUUGCGAAGGCGGCUCUCUGGACUGUAACUGACACUGAGGCACGAAAGCGUGGGGAGCAAACAGGAUUAGAUACCCUGGUAGUCCACGCCGUAAACGAUGAGUACUAGCUGUCGGAGGUUACCCCCUUCGGUGGCGCAG